This 253-nucleotide ribosomal RNA is filed under the name uncultured bacterium. Its description in RNAcentral is "partial 16S ribosomal RNA". It matches the Rfam family "Bacterial small subunit ribosomal RNA", at positions 524 to 776 of the family's 1533-position model. The record is from RNAcentral.
UACGGGGGGGGCAAGCGUUGUUCGGAAUUAUUGGGCGUAAAGGGCUCGUAGGCGGUCAAGUAAGUCAGACGUGAAAUCCCCAGGCUCAACCUGGGAACUGCGUCUGAUACUGGAUGGCUUGAAUUCGGGAGAGGGAUGCAGAAUUCCAGGUGUAGCGGUGAAAUGCGUAGAUAUCUGGAGGAAUACCGGUGGCGAAGGCGGCAUCCUGGACCGACAUUGACGCUGAUGAGCGAAAGCUAGGGGAGCAAACGGG